AAUAGAUACCCGGGUAGUCCACGCCGUAAACGAUGAGUGCUAAGUGUUAGAGGGUUUCCGCCCUUUAGUGCUGCAGCUAACGCAUUAAGCACUCCGCCUGGGGAGUACGGCCGCAAGGCUGAAACUCAAAGGAAUUGACGGGGGCCCGCACAAGCGGUGGAGCAUGUGGUUUAAUUCGAAGCAACGCGAAGAACCUUACCAGGUCUUGACAUCCUCUGACAACCCUAGAGAUAGGGCUUUCCCCUUCGGGGACAGAGUGACAGGUGGUGCAUGGUUGUCGUCAGCUCGUGUCGUGAGAUGUUGGGUUAAGUCCCGCAACGAGCGCAACCCUUGAUCUUAGUUGCCAGCAUUCAGUUGGGCACUCUAAGGUGACUGCCGGUGGCAAACCGGAGGAAGGUGGGGAUGACGUCAAAUCAUCAUGCCCCUUAUGACCUGGGCUACACACGUGCUACAAUGGAUGGUACAAAGGGCUGCAAACCUGCGAAGGUAAGCGAAUCCCAUAAAGCCAUUCUCAGUUCGGAUUGCAGG
This 528-nucleotide ribosomal RNA is filed under the name uncultured bacterium. RNAcentral's name for it is "bacterial SSU rRNA". It matches the Rfam family "Bacterial small subunit ribosomal RNA", at positions 777 to 1304 of the family's 1533-position model. The record is from RNAcentral.